This 332-nucleotide long non-coding RNA is filed under the name Mytilus galloprovincialis (Mediterranean mussel). Lineage: Eukaryota; Metazoa; Mollusca; Bivalvia; Mytilida; Mytilidae. The record is from RNAcentral.
GUCCCAAAGCGGGCAUUUACAAUUAUCAAUAAUGAAAGUAUAUAUGCAACAAACAUUGUACAUUAUAUAACGUGACAGAUAUUAUAAUAGACGAAUGAAAAUAGUAUUAAUAACAAAAAUACAUUAAAAGUUCUUUUUCCCCCUUCCUUCCUUAUUAUCAUUAUUAUUUCUAUGUCCAGCAAUGCACCAAAAAAAACACAUUAAAAGUAAAGUUUGAACAAACUUAAAUUAUUAUUUAUAAAGAUGGAAAUUUGUUUAUCGGUAGGAGACACCAAGGGACGGUGCUGUAGGAUAUACUGUUGAUUGCGAUAGGCAAUAACAGCAAUCCUCCC